AGUGAACGCUGGCGGUAGGCCUAACACAUGCAAGUCGAACGGCAGCACAGUAAGAGCUUGCUCUUACGGGUGGCGAGUGGCGGACGAGUGAGGAAUACAUCGGAAUCUACUUUUUCGUGGGGGAUAACGUAGGGAAACUUACGCUAAUACCGCAUACGACCUACGGGUGAAAGCAGGGGAUCUUCGGACCUUGCGCGAUUGAAUGAGCCGAUGUCGGAUUAGCUAGUUGGCGGGGUAAAGGCCCACCAAGGCGACGAUCCGUAGCUGGUCUGAGAGGAUGAUCAGCCACACUGGAGCUGAGACACGGUCCAGACUCCUACGGGAGGCAGCAGUGGGGAAUAUUGGACAAUGGGCGAAAGCCUGAUCCAGCCAUACCGCGUGGGUGAAGAAGGCCUUCGGGUUGUAAAGCCCUUUUGUUGGGAAAGAAAAGCAGCAGGUUAAUACCCCGCUGUUCUGACGGUACCCAAAGAAUAAGCACCGGCUAACUUCGUG
RNAcentral lists this ribosomal RNA (492 nucleotides) under uncultured bacterium. RNAcentral's name for it is "partial 16S ribosomal RNA". It matches the Rfam family "Bacterial small subunit ribosomal RNA", at positions 29 to 507 of the family's 1533-position model. The record is from RNAcentral.